This is a small nuclear RNA of Echinops telfairi (small Madagascar hedgehog), 113 nucleotides long. Lineage: Eukaryota; Metazoa; Chordata; Mammalia; Afrosoricida; Tenrecidae. The record is from Ensembl.
GUGUUGUAUGAAAGGAGAGAAGGUUAGCACUCCCCUUGACAAGGAUGGAAGAGGCCCUUGGGCCUUACAACAUGCAUUGCCACCUACUUUGUGGCAUCUAACCACGGUUUUUU